AAAGUGACAGACUGAGUCUACUCAAUUUUCAUAAAAAUGACAAGCUUGACACAUUGCAUGAAAAAUUGAAUAGCUAAACAUCUGUGUUUUUCUGAAAACAGGUGAAAAGAUUUGCUGCAGAAACACACAAAGAAAUACUAUGAUUCGAAACUGAGAACAAUCCAAGAAGGCAAUUUUGUAUGAAAAUGGUACCAUUCUACCAUAGAAAUUAGGUUUGAAUUAAGAUUUUGCACGUCACUUCCAACGAAGAUUUACAAUAGUUGUAUAAUUUUAAUACAAUCUCAAAUUUCUG
Long non-coding RNA from Magallana angulata, 292 nucleotides. RefSeq lists it as uncharacterized. NCBI's taxonomy places the organism in Eukaryota, Metazoa, Mollusca, Bivalvia, Ostreida, Ostreidae. The record is from RefSeq and is a predicted model, not a curated record. The transcript is spliced from 3 exons.